GCUCCGUGGGAAACUUGCAGGGUC
RNAcentral lists this small nuclear RNA (24 nucleotides) under Arabidopsis thaliana (thale cress). RNAcentral's name for it is "snRNA_01838". The record is from RNAcentral. Lineage: Eukaryota; Viridiplantae; Streptophyta; Magnoliopsida; Brassicales; Brassicaceae.